AAUGAGAACUCGAGAGGGGUAAGUUGAAUACAAUAGAAGAAUUCGACCGAACACUACUUUAGGUUUUAUGAAUCUUGAUUUAUGAAGUAAAGGUGACCAAUAGGUGAAAUUGUUCCGCCCUAACGUCCAUUUAUUGUUUGAAUUCUCAAUCACUUUUCGUUGCAUCCAAUCGCAUUUUUAAGUAUUUAGAAUAAAAAUC
RNAcentral lists this long non-coding RNA (199 nucleotides) under Olea europaea (common olive). RNAcentral describes it as "long non-coding RNA (OEUR_LNC012535)". Lineage: Eukaryota; Viridiplantae; Streptophyta; Magnoliopsida; Lamiales; Oleaceae. The record is from RNAcentral.